CAGGCCUAACACAUGCAAGUCGUGCGAGAACGGUUCCUUCGGGAACCUAGUAGAGCGGCGAACGGGUGAGUAAUACGUGAGCGAUCUGCCCGAAGGUGGGGGAUACCCCAGGGAAACCUGGACCAAUACCGCGUACAGCGUCGGGAGUGGGUGCCCGACGUGAAAGCCGGCCUCUUCUAUGCUGGCGCCUUCGGAUGAGCUCGCGGCCUAUCAGCUUGUUGGUGGGGUAACGGCCUACCAAGGCUAUGACGGGUAGCUGACGUGAGAGCGUGAUCAGCCACAUUGGGACUGAGACACGGCCCAGACUCCUACGGGAGGCAGCAGUGGGGAAUAUUGCGCAAUGGGCGAAAGCCUGACGCAGCGACGCCGCGUGGGGGAGGAAGGCCCUAGGGUUGUAAACCCCUGUCAGGUGGGACGAACACCUUGUCGGAUAAUACCCGGCAGGACUGACGGUACCACCAGAGGAAGCUCCGGCUAACUCCGUGCCAGCAGCCGCGGUAAUACGGAGGGAGCGAGCGUUGUUCGGAAUUACUGGGCGUAAAGGGCGCGUAGGCGGCCUCGUAAGUCGGGUGUGAAAGGCCGGGGCUCAACCCCGUGCACUGCACCCGAUACUGCAUGGCUAGAGAAAGGUAGAGGCGAGCGGAAUUCCCGGUGUAGCGGUGGAAUGCGUAGAUAUCGGGAAGAACAUCUGCGGCGAAGGCGGCUCGCUGGGCCUUUUCUGACGCUGAA
Molecule: ribosomal RNA, 729 nt
Filed under: uncultured bacterium
Lineage: Bacteria
Description: bacterial SSU rRNA
Rfam family: Bacterial small subunit ribosomal RNA
Source: RNAcentral